UACGAAGGGGGCUAGCGUUGUUCGGAAUCACUGGGCGUAAAGCGCACGUAGGCGGAUUUUUAAGUCAGGGGUGAAAUCCCGGGGCUCAACCCUGGAACUGCCUUUGAUACUGGAAGUCUUGAGGCCGAGAGAGGUGAGUGGAACUCCGAGUGUAGAGGUGAAAUUCGUAGAUAUUCGGAAGAACACCAGUGGCGAAGGCGGCUCACUGGCUCGGUACUGACGCUGAGGUGCGAAAGCGUGGGGAGCAAACAGG
RNAcentral lists this ribosomal RNA (253 nucleotides) under uncultured bacterium. RNAcentral's name for it is "partial 16S ribosomal RNA". It matches the Rfam family "Bacterial small subunit ribosomal RNA", at positions 524 to 776 of the family's 1533-position model. The record is from RNAcentral.